GCUUUCGUGGUGUAGUGGUAUCACGCAUCCUUCACACGGAUGAGGCCUCCGGUUCGAUCCCGGACGAAAGCA
Transfer RNA from Nematocida parisii ERTm3, 72 nucleotides. It matches the Rfam family "tRNA". Rfam says of the family: Transfer RNA (tRNA) molecules are approximately 80 nucleotides in length. Their secondary structure includes four short double-helical elements and three loops (D, anti-codon, and T loops). The record is from Rfam. Lineage: Eukaryota; Fungi; Microsporidia.